RNAcentral lists this ribosomal RNA (497 nucleotides) under uncultured bacterium. Its description in RNAcentral is "partial 16S ribosomal RNA". It matches the Rfam family "Bacterial small subunit ribosomal RNA", at positions 28 to 507 of the family's 1533-position model. The record is from RNAcentral.
GAUGAACGCUGGCGGCGUGCCUAAUACAUGCGAGUCGAGCGAACAGACGAGGAGCUUGCUCCUCUGACGUUAGCGGCGGACGGGUGAGUAACACGUGGAUAACCUACCUAUAAGACUGGGAUAACUUCGGGAAACCGGAGCUAAUACCGGAUAAUAUAUUGAACCGCAUGGUUCAAUAGUGAAAGACGGUUUUGCUGUCACUUAUAGAUGGAUCCGCGCCGCAUUAGCUAGUUGGUAAGGUAACGGCUUACCAAGGCAACGAUGCGUAGCCGACCUGAGAGGGUGAUCGGCCACACUGGAACUGAGACACGGUCCAGACUCCUACGGGAGGCAGCAGUAGGGAAUCUUCCGCAAUGGGCGAAAGCCUGACGGAGCAACGCCGCGUGGGUGAUGAAGGUCUUCGGAUCGUAAAACUCUGUUAUUAGGGAAGAACAAAUGUGUAAGUAACUAUGCACGUCUUGACGGUACCUAAUCAGAAAGCCACGGCUAACUACGUG